CCUUCAGUUCGGCUGGACCGGUGGACAGGUGGCUGCAUGGCUGUCGUCAGCUCGUGUCGUGAGAUGUUGGGUUAAGUCCCGCAACGAGCGCAACCCUUGCCUUUAGUUGCCAGCAGUUCGGCUGGGCACUCUAAAGGGACUGCCGGUGUUAAACCGGAGGAAGGUGGGGAGUGACGUCAAGUCCUCAUGGCCUUUAUGACCAGGGCUACACACGUACUACAAUGGCCGAUACAAAGGGCAGCGACACUGCGAGGUGAAGCCAAUCCCGUAAAAUCGGUCUCAGUCCGGAUUGGAGUCUGCAACUCGGCUCCAUGAAGUUGGAAUCGCUAGUAAUCGUGGAUCAGCAUGCCACGGUGAAUACGUUUCCGGGCCUU
Molecule: ribosomal RNA, 374 nt
Filed under: uncultured Desulfobulbus sp.
Lineage: Bacteria; Pseudomonadati; Thermodesulfobacteriota; Desulfobulbia; Desulfobulbales; Desulfobulbaceae
Description: bacterial SSU rRNA
Rfam family: Bacterial small subunit ribosomal RNA
Source: RNAcentral